RNAcentral lists this ribosomal RNA (896 nucleotides) under Salmonella enterica. Its description in RNAcentral is "partial 23S ribosomal RNA". It matches the Rfam family "Bacterial large subunit ribosomal RNA", at positions 648 to 1547 of the family's 2925-position model. The record is from RNAcentral. Lineage: Bacteria; Pseudomonadati; Pseudomonadota; Gammaproteobacteria; Enterobacterales; Enterobacteriaceae.
AACCGAAUAGGGGAGCCGGAGGGAAACCGAGUCUUAACCGGGCGUUAAGUUGCAGGGUAUAGACCCGAAACCCGGUGAUCUAGCCAUGGGCAGGUUGAAGGUUGGGUAACACUAACUGGAGGACCGAACCGACUAAUGUUGAAAAAUUAGCGGAUGACCUGUGGCUGGGGGUGAAAGGCCAAUCAAACCGGGAGAUAGCUGGUUCUCCCCGAAAGCUAUUUAGGUAGCGCCUCGUGAAUUCAUCUCCGGGGGUAGAGCACUGUUUCGGCUAGGGGGCCAUCCCGGCUUACCAACCCGAUGCAAACUGCGAAUACCGGAGAAUGUUAUCACGGGAGACACACGGCGGGUGCUAACGUCCGUCGUGAAGAGGGAAACAACCCAGACCGCCAGCUAAGGUCCCAAAGUCAUGGUUAAGUGGGAAACGAUGUGGGAAGGCCCAGACAGCCAGGAUGUUGGCUUAGAAGCAGCCAUCAUUUAAAGAAAGCGUAAUAGCUCACUGGUCGAGUCGGCCUGCGCGGAAGAUGUAACGGGGCUAAACCAUGCACCGAAGCUGCGGCAGCGACGCUGAUGCGUUGUUGGGUAGGGGAGCGUUCUGUAAGCCUGCGAAGGUGGCCUGUGAGGGUUGCUGGAGGUAUCAGAAGUGCGAAUGCUGACAUAAGUAACGAUAAAGCGGGUGAAAAGCCCGCUCGCCGGAAGACCAAGGGUUCCUGUCCAACGUUAAUCGGGGCAGGGUGAGUCGACCCCUAAGGCGAGGCCGAAAGGCGUAGUCGAUGGGAAACGGGUUAAUAUUCCCGUACUUGGUGUUACUGCGAAGGGGGGACGGAGAAGGCUAUGUUGGCCGGGCGACGGUUGUCCCGGUUUAAGCGUGUAGGUGUGUGUUCCAGGUAAAUCCGGUU